AUGAAUAAACAUAUCUUUUCUACUAGCCAGACUCAGAACCCAGCCAUGUACUCACUCCUCUUUCCUGCCUCCUUUUCAUACAGGAUGUUGGAUUUUUUAUUUACAACCAGAGCAACACCCCUUCCUAAGGGUCAAAUUGUCUGGACUCCCUCAUCCAAGCCUUCCUUCCUGGGCCUCAGAAGCAGCUUUGUUGGAAAUGGUGGGCUGCCUGGUGAAGAAGCAAAUCUUUAUGAGGCCAUUCCAGGAUAAUUCAGGCACAAAAGACAUCUUAACAGCUUUAUUAUUUAGGAUCUGAUAAGGGAAAGACAAAAUCAAGAACUGUCAGGAAACAGAAGACGUUAAUGUAAGUCAUAAUUUUAAAAACCAAGAUACAGUUAUACAUUUUAAAACCACAGUAAUAGAUAAUAACCUUAAUAACCAGGGAUCAAACCAGUGUUCCUUGCAGUGGAAGCACCGAGUCCUAACCACUGGAUGGCCAGAGAAGUUCUUUGAUAGACAUUUGGGUUGUUCCUGUCUUUCAGCCACUGGGAACAGUGCUGCUAUGAACAUUUGUGUACAAAUAUUUCUUUGUAUACCCAUCUUCAAUGUUUUUGAGUAUAUACAUAGGAGUGGAAUUAUUAAUAUGCUAACAAUGUGCUAAUAUACUAAUUAUACAUUUAACUUUGCAAGACCAACUGAACUGUUUUCCACAGUAGUGCACUUUUUUUCCUUAUUAAAUGUUUUAUUUAUUUUUUAAAUUUAAAUUUAUUUUAAUUGGAGGCUAAUUACUUUACAAUAUUAUAUUGGGUAGUGCACUGUUUUACAUUCCCACCAUCCAUGUCCUCACCAACACUUGUUAUAUCCUGUUUUAGUAACAGACAUCUUGCUAGGAGUGAAUGGCAUCUCAUUGUGAAUUGUACACUUUAAAAUAGUUUGACUUAAAUUUCCCUAAUGAUUAAUAAUAUUGAGUAUCUUGCUGCUGCUGCUGCUAAGUCGCUUCAGUUGUGUCCGACUCUGUGCGACCCCAGAGACGGCAGCCCACCAGGCUCCCCCAUCCCUGGGAUUCUCCAGGCAAGAACACUGGAGUGGGUUGCCAUUUCCUUCUCCAAUGCAUGAAAGUGAAAAGUGAAAGUGAAGUCGCUCAGUUGUGUCCAACUCUUAGCGACCCCAUGGACUGCAGCCUACCAGGCUCCUCUGCCCAUGGGAUUUUCCAGGCAAGAGUACUGGAGUGGGGUGCCGUUGCCUUCUCCGAUUAAGUAUCUUGUCUUGUGCUUAUUGGCCACCUGUAUAUCUUCUUUAGAGAAAUGUCUAUUCAAAUUCUUUGCACAUAUUAAAAACUGUGUUGUUUUUUGUUGAGUUGUAUAUAUAUUCUGAAUACUAUAUACCUGUGAGAUUUAUGAUUCACAAAUAUUUUCUCCCAUCUGUUAGUUGUAUGUAUUUUCAACUUCUUGAUAGCUUCCUUUGAUGCACAGAAGUUUCUUAUUUUUAUGAAGUUCGAUUUAUCCACUUUUUUUUAUUGCUUAUGCUUUUCAUGUCAAGUCUAAGGAUCCAUUGCCAAAUCUAAGAUCAUGAAGUUUUAUUAUUAGGUUUUGUUCUGAGAGUUUUAUAGUUUAUGUCUUUGAUCCAUUUUUGAGUUAAUUUUGGUGUGUGGUAUAAGGAAAGGGUCCAAUUUCAUCUUUAUUUUAAUUGAGGAAUAUUUGAUGUACCAUACUAUAUAAGUUUCAGGCAAAAGAGUUGAUCAUGACUUAGCGACUGAACAACAACAAAUACAACAUAGUGAUUCACAGUUUUUAAAGGUUAUAUUCCAUUUAUAGUUAUUAUAAAAUAUUGGUGAUAUUCCCUGUGUUGUACUAUAUAUCUUUGUAGCUUAUUUAUUUUAUACAUAGUAGUUUGUACCUCUUAACAAUUUCAGUCUUUUGCAUGUGGAUAUCUAGCUCCAUUUACUGGAGACCCAAUUCUUUGCCUCAUUGAAUCAAUUGCGUGUGGAUAUCAGCUCCAUUUACUGGAGACACAAUUCUUUCCCCCAUUGAAUGGUCUCAGCACUCAAAAAAAAUCAAUUGGCCAUAGAUAUACAAAUUCAUUUCUGAACUCUCUAUUCCAUUGAUCUAUUUAGUUGUUUGCUUGCUUAGUGACUUUUCUAAACUAUUUUUGUAAAUUCUGUGUUGUCAUACGUGGCCACCUACGUCUGCUCUGUUAGCUUUGUGGUCAGAUAAUGUUUUGACAGUUUCCUUAAGGACCUGGAGAGAAGAAAAAGAGAAGAAGGAGGAGGAAGAGAGAAGGGAAAAAAAAAGAAAUCCCCUUUCUCCUAGUCUUUGCAAAUUGGCUCAGUGUCAGGGUACUCCUCCAAUGCUUAGCCAAGCCCUUUGCAACUCUGCUUAGCCUUCACAUCCUGCUUGCACAGAGCCUGAAGGCAAGCCAGAGGUGAGAGUUAAGGAUCUUUUAA
Long non-coding RNA from Bos grunniens (domestic yak), 2422 nucleotides. The record is from Ensembl. NCBI's taxonomy places the organism in Eukaryota, Metazoa, Chordata, Mammalia, Artiodactyla, Bovidae.